This 376-nucleotide long non-coding RNA is filed under the name Mytilus galloprovincialis (Mediterranean mussel). Lineage: Eukaryota; Metazoa; Mollusca; Bivalvia; Mytilida; Mytilidae. The record is from RNAcentral.
GUUUACUUUUGGCUUGCAGCAAGGCUCAUCCCGAGGGUUCCUACAGGUAAGAAGCAGCGCAUUAGCUAUAUGCCUCGCAUUUUAUAUUACAAGUAAGGGUUAUAAUUUAGAGGUAAGAAGCAGCGCAUUAGAUGUAUGCCUUGCAUAUUUAUUUAUAUUGUCAAGUUAAUCCCGGUUGGUCCGUACGAAAAUACAAGUAAAAGACUAUUAUUUUAGUAGCUCCGGCCGUAUGUAAAUUAUAUAUAUUAUUGUUGGAAUAUUGUACUUGUAUGGAAGUAUAUCGGCUGUUUAAUAAAAGUAUCAUUUUUACUUUUGACUAGUUAUUCACGCUACCAAUGAUGAGAGAGAACAGACAACAGAUUUGACGUCCGUAAUU